RNAcentral lists this ribosomal RNA (569 nucleotides) under Pichia sp. TLD. Its description in RNAcentral is "eukaryotic LSU rRNA". It matches the Rfam family "Eukaryotic large subunit ribosomal RNA", at positions 66 to 663 of the family's 3401-position model. The record is from RNAcentral. Lineage: Eukaryota; Fungi; Ascomycota; Pichiomycetes; Pichiales; Pichiaceae.
CAAGGGGGCAUGCCCAGUAGCGGCGAGUGAGCGGCAAGAGCUCAGAUUUGAAAUCGUGUUUCGGCACGAGUUGUAGAGUGUAGGCGGGAGUCUCUGUGGAGCGCGGUGUCCAAGUCCCUUGGAACAGGGUGCCUGAGAGGGUGAGAGCCCCGUAGGGUGCUGCGCGAAGCUUUUGAGGCCCUGCUGACGAGUCGAGUUGUUUGGGAAUGCAGCUCCAAGCGGGUGGUAAAUUCCAUCUAAGGCUAAAUAUUGGCGAGAGACCGAUAGCGAACAAGUACUGUGAAGGAAAGAUGAAAAGCACUUUGAAAAGAGAGUGAAACAGCACGUGAAAUUGUUGAAAGGGAAGGGUAUUGGGCUCGACAUGGGGGGUGCGCACCGCUGUCUCUUGUAGGCGGCGCUCUGGGCGCCCUCUGGGCCAGCAUCGGUUCCUGCUGCGGGAGAAGGGGCUCCGGAAAGUGGCUCUUCGGAGUGUUAUAGCCGGGGCCAGAUGCCGCGUGUGGGGACCGAGGACUGCGGCUUCUGUCUCGGAUGCUGGCAUAACGGCGCAAUACCGCCCGUCUUGAACAACG